Molecule: ribosomal RNA, 445 nt
Filed under: uncultured bacterium
Lineage: Bacteria
Description: partial 16S ribosomal RNA
Rfam family: Bacterial small subunit ribosomal RNA
Source: RNAcentral
GUGGGGAAUAUUGCGCAAUGGAGGCAACUCUGACGCAGCCAUGCCGCGUGCAGGAAGAAGGCGCUACGCGUUGUAAACUGCUUUUAACCGGGAAGAAACCCCAGGACGUGUCCUGGGUUGACGGUACCGGAGGAAUAAGCACCGGCUAACUUCGUGCCAGCAGCCGCGGUAAUACGAAGGGUGCAAGCGUUAUCCGGAUUCAUUGGGUUUAAAGGGUGCGUAGGCGGAGCGUUAAGUCAGUGGUGAAAUCCUGCAGCUUAACUGUAGACUUGCCAUUGAUACUGGCGCUCUUGAGUGCGCUUGAAGUGGGCGGAAUGUGCCGUGUAGCGGUGAAAUGCUUAGAUAUGGCACAGAACACCAAUUGCGAAGGCAGCUCACUAAGGCGAUACUGACGCUGAGGCACGAAAGCGUGGGGAUCGAACAGGAUUAGAUACCCCUGUAGUCC